UACUCGAGUGGCGAACGGGUGAGUAACACGUGGGUGAUCUGCCCUGCACUCUGGGAUAAGCCUGGGAAACUGGGUCUAAUACCGGAUAGUACCAUGCUUUAGUGUGUGUGGUGGAAAGUUUUUUCGGUGUAGGAUGAGCCCGCGGCCUAUCAGCUUGUUGGUGGGGUAAUGGCCUACCAAGGCGGCGACGGGUAGCCGGACUGAGAGGUUGGUCGGCCACAUUGGGACUGAGAUACGGCCCAG
Molecule: ribosomal RNA, 243 nt
Filed under: uncultured Actinomycetales bacterium
Lineage: Bacteria; Bacillati; Actinomycetota; Actinomycetes; Actinomycetales
Description: partial 16S ribosomal RNA
Rfam family: Bacterial small subunit ribosomal RNA
Source: RNAcentral